CAAGUCGAACGGCAGCACGGGAGCAAUCCUGGUGGCGAGUGGCGAACGGGUGAGUAAUACAUCGGAACGUGCCCUGUCGUGGGGGAUAACUAGUCGAAAGAUUAGCUAAUACCGCAUACGUCCUGAGGGUGAAAGCGGGGGACCGCAAGGCCUCGCGCGAUAGGAGCGGCCGAUGUCUGAUUAGCUAGUUGGUGGGGUAAAGGCCCACCAAGGCGACGAUCAGUAGCUGGUCUGAGAGGACGAUCAGCCACACUGGGACUGAGACACGGCCCAGACUCCUACGGGAGGCAGCAGUGGGGAAUUUUGGACAAUGGGGGCAACCCUGAUCCAGCAAUGCCGCGUGUGUGAAGAAGGCCUUCGGGUUGUAAAGCACUUUUGUCCGGAAAGAAAUCCCUUGCCCUAAUACGGCGGGGGGAUGACGGUACCGGAAGAAUAAGCACCGGCUAACUACGUGCCAGCAGCCGCGGU
RNAcentral lists this ribosomal RNA (468 nucleotides) under uncultured bacterium. RNAcentral describes it as "bacterial SSU rRNA". It matches the Rfam family "Bacterial small subunit ribosomal RNA", at positions 58 to 521 of the family's 1533-position model. The record is from RNAcentral.